CCCAAAAAAGUUACAGGCAGUGAGCCUCACUCAUUCACUCCCCAUGAACCCCGCCGCCUCCCUCUCUCCCACGCCGCGCCGCCCUUGCCUCGCGCCGGCAGCCGCCAAACCCUUGACGGCGGCCUCCUCCCUUCCCCUGCCCUCCGGUCAACUUCCUCUCCGUGCGACGACCUCCUCCCAACCCCGCGCUCCGCCGCCUUCCUACCCGUGCUCCGGCCUCCUUCCUCCCCCGCCUCCGGUAGCCUUCCUCCCCGCGCUCCGGACGCCUUCCUCCCCGCACUCCGGCCUCCUCUCUCCCCUGCCUCCGGUCACCUUCCUCCCCGCGCUUCGGCCGCCUUCCUCCCCGAGAUUCGUCCGCCUUCCACACCCGAGAUCCAAGCGCCAGUGCCCAACCCCUCCGUUCAUGAGCUAGGUGACUGGGACGCCCUCCUCGCCACGGCGUCAUUGCUGGGCGUCAGUAGCGGAAACGGGGUGGCGCAGGGACCUUAUGGUGCUCGUCUCCGACUACUGUCAAGCGUAGAUCGGGAGGUGUGCGAGAAGUGGUGGUUCCGGCGUGUUGGUGCGGCGACCGUCCCGGGGUGGAGCACCUCCGCCUCUAGCCACCGACGUCAGAUUGUGGGAGGUUCUGCUCGCCGUCGGGUGGCACCGCCUCUAGCAGUUUGACAAGGGCGCGUCCCUCAGUACUACGAUGACAAGGAAGACAACUGCCCUCUUUGUGACCUGCUGCUAUUCCCCAUCUUGCACUGGCGGACUGAUGACGCGGGAGCCGCCCUCUUCGCUACAACCCCACGUGGAUCUCUCUCUUUCUCCUCUCUUAAAUUCGUUGAAAAAUUUUUGUUCCAGAGUUGUUCAAAGUUCAGACUUACGUUUUGUGAAGGCAAGGACAAGGAGAAGCCUAUAGAUAACAGUUUGUGUGGAGCUUGGCCAGUUCCUCUGUUCAUGUGCUGAACUCCAAUACUUGCAUCCGCCACCCCAACGCCGACGUGUUCCCUCAGUGCUCUCUCGACAAAAUCCAAUAGUACAUGAUCUCCGGUGUGCCAAGUAUUGCCUGCAGCGAUGCCUGCAUCAUGGCCCAUUGAGGAGAUCUUAUGUAUUCCACAUAGAAGAAAUAUUGUCAGUUCGUGAAUAGAGAAUUUAUGUACCAGACUUAAUAUUAGUUCGCACAAGUAGCAAAUGGGACUGACUGGGAGUGAUCCCUGAACCAUUUCAUUAAAGUCCAUGGUUUCCAACAAUGCUAAUGCUACUAGAAAGGAGCUGGAGGCGAUGAAGCCUCCGUGGCUUCUCCAAUUAGCAUGUUUGGCCAGUCCUGAAGCGCCUCCUCAAGCUCUUCGACGAUGACUAGGCACCCAUCAAGGACGAGAGCUACCACAUUUAGUCUAGUUUCUUAUUUUAGUUUAGUACAAUAACUAAUUUUUGUUCUGACAAGUUCUUAUUAACAUUCUUCUAUACAACAUCAGGGAGAAGGUGCCUGAGACCCAUCAUGUCCUCUAUACAGAUUCAGAGUUUAACAAAUCAAUGGAAGUUUGUUCUCAAAACUGAAAUUGUUCUACAUGUACUGAUAGUUUUUUAUCUCCUAUGUCUGGACUUUGUUUUGUUAGGUAGUCAGUCGAGGACCAGAUGGGUAUGACUGCAACUGGGUUUGUUUUGUGAUGUCUUUGCAACAGGAUAAAAGAAUGGCAUUAGCCUAACAAAAACUAUGAUCUGCCUCACAAUUUCUUCUAAUUCUAAAGUAGCACUGGAUCGAACGGGAAAUUCUAACAACUUUGCGGAUGUCUGGAUCUUAUUAUUUCCGGUUCAAGAGACGGCUCUUUUGCCAUUUGGGAUCUAAGAUGUGACCCCAAAACCCCAAAUGGUCAUGGUGAAGCAUGACUCAUAUCUUCUGCUGUUGUCAAAGAAGCACACAGUCCCACUCGAAGGAAUCGGACAAGGUCUCGAGCAAAGCUUCGAUGAGCAUCACAUCAAUUCUGUAUCUGAAAGACGAUAUCUCCAUUGAUACAUCUGGUGCUGCUGACAACAUUGUGAAAGUUUGGGAUACACGGAACCUUAAAGAGCCUGUCUACAACAAAACCUCUCAAUCAACAGCAUAACCUAUGAAGGAGGGGGUGAUAGAUGGUAUCUCUUGCUUGUCUCAAGAGUCAUAUGGUGCUUAUAUUGCCGCGUCAUGCAUGGAUCACAGUUCCAGGAUCUAUCUUUAUAGUACUUUCCACAUGGACAAGGGUCCAAUAAAGACUUACACUGCCAGCAAAAUAGAGUCUUUCUUUGUCAAAUAAGUCUGCUAUUAGUCCUGAUGGUACUCAUACUUUAGGUGGCUCGAGCGAUGGGAACGUGUACCUCAUACUCGUAUAUUUGUAGCCUUAUAAUUUGUGUAUGUAUUAGUGCAAAAUGUAUUGUACCUAUUUGCUUAUAAAUGAUCCUUAGGCCUAUCUUCUCACAAAACAUGUGUGUACGAAUUCUGUUUUAGGCUAUAACUCUGCUCAAACAAAUUUGCAAAAAAAAUCGUAACAGUAAAGGUUCGAAGGAAAAAAGCUACUUGACAAAUGGAAAAAACGACAAUGGAUUUAUAUUAUGUU
Molecule: long non-coding RNA, 2570 nt
Organism: Triticum dicoccoides
Lineage: Eukaryota; Viridiplantae; Streptophyta; Magnoliopsida; Poales; Poaceae
Exons: 13
Source: RefSeq, a predicted model, not a curated record